CUCCUACGGGGGCAGCAGUAGGGAAUUUUCCACAAUGGGCAAAAGCCUGAUGGAGCAACGCCGCGUGCAGGAUGAAGGCCCUUGGGUCGUAAACUGCUUUUCUCUGUGAGGAAUAUGACAGUAGCAGAGGAAUAGGGAUCGGCUAACUCCGUGCCAGCAGCCGCGGAAUUC
Molecule: ribosomal RNA, 171 nt
Filed under: uncultured bacterium
Lineage: Bacteria
Description: partial 16S ribosomal RNA
Rfam family: Bacterial small subunit ribosomal RNA
Source: RNAcentral